This 2058-nucleotide ribosomal RNA is filed under the name Escherichia coli UMEA 3318-1. Its description in RNAcentral is "bacterial LSU rRNA". It matches the Rfam family "Bacterial large subunit ribosomal RNA", at positions 890 to 2925 of the family's 2925-position model. Lineage: Bacteria; Pseudomonadati; Pseudomonadota; Gammaproteobacteria; Enterobacterales; Enterobacteriaceae. The record is from RNAcentral.
UCAUCUCCGGGGGUAGAGCACUGUUUCGGCAAGGGGGUCAUCCCGACUUACCAACCCGAUGCAAACUGCGAAUACCGGAGAAUGUUAUCACGGGAGACACACGGCGGGUGCUAACGUCCGUCGUGAAGAGGGAAACAACCCAGACCGCCAGCUAAGGUCCCAAAGUCAUGGUUAAGUGGGAAACGAUGUGGGAAGGCCCAGACAGCCAGGAUGUUGGCUUAGAAGCAGCCAUCAUUUAAAGAAAGCGUAAUAGCUCACUGGUCGAGUCGGCCUGCGCGGAAGAUGUAACGGGGCUAAACCAUGCACCGAAGCUGCGGCAGCGACGCUGAUGCGUUGUUGGGUAGGGGAGCGUUCUGUAAGCCUGCGAAGGUGUGCUGUGAGGCAUGCUGGAGGUAUCAGAAGUGCGAAUGCUGACAUAAGUAACGAUAAAGCGGGUGAAAAGCCCGCUCGCCGGAAGACCAAGGGUUCCUGUCCAACGUUAAUCGGGGCAGGGUGAGUCGACCCCUAAGGCGAGGCCGAAAGGCGUAGUCGAUGGGAAACAGGUUAAUAUUCCUGUACUUGGUGUUACUGCGAAGGGGGGACGGAGAAGGCUAUGUUGGCCGGGCGACGGUUGUCCCGGUUUAAGCGUGUAGGCUGGUUUUCCAGGCAAAUCCGGAAAAUCAAGGCUGAGGCGUGAUGACGAGGCACUACGGUGCUGAAGCAACAAAUGCCCUGCUUCCAGGAAAAGCCUCUAAGCAUCAGGUAACAUCAAAUCGUACCCCAAACCGACACAGGUGGUCAGGUAGAGAAUACCAAGGCGCUUGAGAGAACUCGGGUGAAGGAACUAGGCAAAAUGGUGCCGUAACUUCGGGAGAAGGCACGCUGAUAUGUAGGUGAGGUCCCUCGCGGAUGGAGCUGAAAUCAGUCGAAGAUACCAGCUGGCUGCAACUGUUUAUUAAAAACACAGCACUGUGCAAACACGAAAGUGGACGUAUACGGUGUGACGCCUGCCCGGUGCCGGAAGGUUAAUUGAUGGGGUCAGCGCAAGCGAAGCUCUUGAUCGAAGCCCCGGUAAACGGCGGCCGUAACUAUAACGGUCCUAAGGUAGCGAAAUUCCUUGUCGGGUAAGUUCCGACCUGCACGAAUGGCGUAAUGAUGGCCAGGCUGUCUCCACCCGAGACUCAGUGAAAUUGAACUCGCUGUGAAGAUGCAGUGUACCCGCGGCAAGACGGAAAGACCCCGUGAACCUUUACUAUAGCUUGACACUGAACAUUGAGCCUUGAUGUGUAGGAUAGGUGGGAGGCUUUGAAGUGUGGACGCCAGUCUGCAUGGAGCCGACCUUGAAAUACCACCCUUUAAUGUUUGAUGUUCUAACGUUGACCCGUAAUCCGGGUUGCGGACAGUGUCUGGUGGGUAGUUUGACUGGGGCGGUCUCCUCCUAAAGAGUAACGGAGGAGCACGAAGGUUGGCUAAUCCUGGUCGGACAUCAGGAGGUUAGUGCAAUGGCAUAAGCCAGCUUGACUGCGAGCGUGACGGCGCGAGCAGGUGCGAAAGCAGGUCAUAGUGAUCCGGUGGUUCUGAAUGGAAGGGCCAUCGCUCAACGGAUAAAAGGUACUCCGGGGAUAACAGGCUGAUACCGCCCAAGAGUUCAUAUCGACGGCGGUGUUUGGCACCUCGAUGUCGGCUCAUCACAUCCUGGGGCUGAAGUAGGUCCCAAGGGUAUGGCUGUUCGCCAUUUAAAGUGGUACGCGAGCUGGGUUUAGAACGUCGUGAGACAGUUCGGUCCCUAUCUGCCGUGGGCGCUGGAGAACUGAGGGGGGCUGCUCCUAGUACGAGAGGACCGGAGUGGACGCAUCACUGGUGUUCGGGUUGUCAUGCCAAUGGCACUGCCCGGUAGCUAAAUGCGGAAGAGAUAAGUGCUGAAAGCAUCUAAGCACGAAACUUGCCCCGAGAUGAGUUCUCCCUGACCCUUUAAGGGUCCUGAAGGAACGUUGAAGACGACGACGUUGAUAGGCCGGGUGUGUAAGCGCAGCGAUGCGUUGAGCUAACCGGUACUAAUGAACCGUGAGGCUUAACCUU